AAGAACAAAGUUUUGUCCAUCUUUGUUCAUCAUAGCCUAAAGUUAGAGAAGAGAAAGGAGAGGAGAAAGCUCUUGAAUGUUCGGUCACUUGGGGAAGAAAAUUGAAGGUAAGUUCAUGGUAGUUUGCUUUUAUUUUGAGGUUCAUGAGUUCUUCUUGAUUCUACCUUAACUCUUGAAGCAUAUUUUGGUUUUUGGUUGUGUUGUGAGCAUUUGGUCAUGAAUUAAAAUGAAGGAAAUGGUUGUUGUUUCAUGUUCUUUUGAUGAAAAAUGGAAGAUAGGUGAAGUUGAGCCAAACAAAUGAACAUGCAUGUGCCUUAGAUGCUAAAGGGAAAAAUCGGCUAACAUGUUGUGCUUUAAAAUGAUGAAAUGGAGAUUAUACUUAAGUAAAAUCAUAGAUAUGUGAUGAUUGAUUGGUGAUAUACAUGUUUAAAUAACAUGCAUGCAAGUUAUGUGUGAAAGAGUGAAUUUGGUAAUAAAUCUACUUGGGACAGCAGCAGUAACGUGACUUUGGAAAAUCACCAUAAAUUGUGGGAGAUGAAUUAGAAGCUGAAUAAAUUAUGUAAUUAAAUAUUAAUAAGUCUAGUUUCAAAUGGAAUAAACGAGAACAUAUUUUGAAUUCUGUACAAUGAGAAAUUUAAUUCGUAAUGAAGAGUGGUCAGAUUAGUCAAACAGUGAAACAUGGGAAACUUUAAGAAAAUCUGGUAUUGAUUGGCCAUACCAAAAAUUCUGAAAAUUUUAUGGAUAGAAGAUAUAUGAGUCUAUUUUCAGGUAAAAUUAACGGCACUUGAUUUGGAGUUUCGUAGCUCCAAUUAUAAAUGAUUUAGUGACUAUUGUUCAGGAAGACAGCUUGCAGUGAGAUUAUGAUUAUGUGGUAAACAUUGACAAAAAAUUGUUAAUGAGUUAUUGAUUUCUUAUAAGCUUACUAUGAUCUGUAGGUGUGGUUGGCCGAAUAUUGUAAGGGGUUAAUACGUAGUUCGUAUUUGAAUAGUUAGAUUAAUGUGUUAGUAAUCCAAUUGUAGGUAGUUCGUGUGUGGAUUUCGUCAGCAUAUCGUCGCAAACAGGUGUGUAACUAACACCCUCUUUCUUAGUCUGGAUCGGCAAAAGUCGAAAAGCCGAAAUGUCGAAAACCGGUAUUUUGUAGAUUUGUGAGUGUUCGAAUGCUUGUGAGGUAAAUCGAUUAAUGUUUUUGAUAAGCUGCAAAAUUUGGACUGCAAAGUGCAUGAUUUAUGUGCCCUCGAUAUUUUUGGGCUUAAUGGGCCAAAAUUAGAAUGAUGGGCCAACGGACCCAAUUCGGUAAGAACCCUCAGUACGUGAUUCUGUUAGUAAGUGAAAAGUAGGAAUAUGCAUGAAAAACCCUAAAAUAGAUAAAUUACUGAAAUACCUUUAAAAGUAGAAAAUUUACAGUUUUACCCCUAGUAGAUAAAUUACUGAAAUACCUCUAGGGUUAAAUUGACCUAAAUGCAUGUUUGACUGUUGUUAUUUACUGCAUGCCAUGUUGUUAUUAUCUGAUGCAUGAGAUUGGGAUAUUGACGGAGGAAGUACUGAAAGUGGCUUGUCCACGUACUGGAGGCUUUGCCUCAAUUUACUGUUAACUAAGCAGCAAGGCUGCAACUGUGGAGUGUUGGGCUGGGUGGGUUGAGCUAUUCCCCACAUGGAGUGUAUGGCUGGUACGGGUGGAGUGUAGUGGUUGGUGGGUUGAGUAGUCUCCCCAAAUGGGCUUGCAUAUGUUUACUGAUGUUGCAUGUAUUUUGAAAUGGGCCUAUGGGCCAUACUGUUAUCUGAAUAAGGGGCUAAGGCCCAGUUUAUAGUAAUCUGAAAAGGGCUCUGGCCCAGUACCACUGUUACCUAAAUGGGCUUCGGCCCAAUGGGCUUGAGCUGACUUGGGCUUUGAAUGUGUUUUCCUUACACACUGAGUUUCCCCAAACUCACCCUUUCUUUAACCUUACAGGUGAGCCUUGAUGUGGGUAACUUGGAGCCGGAGGGGAUUCAGAGUGGCCAUGGUGAACACUUUUGGGUUUGAAAAAGAGACUGGUUUUCUUAAGUUAUUUUUAAUUACUAUUUAAUAUUUGGGUUGUAAUAAGGCCA
RNAcentral lists this long non-coding RNA (2085 nucleotides) under Gossypium barbadense (sea-island cotton). RNAcentral's name for it is "long non-coding RNA (GBAR_LNC002679)". Lineage: Eukaryota; Viridiplantae; Streptophyta; Magnoliopsida; Malvales; Malvaceae. The record is from RNAcentral.